AUUGAACGCUGGCGGCAUGCCUUACACAUGCAAGUUGAACGGUAACGCGGGGCAACCUGGCGACGAGUGGCGAACGGGUGAGUAAUGCAUCGGAACGUACCCAGUAGUGGGGGAUAGCCCGGCGAAAGCCGGAUUAAUACCGCAUACGACCUACGGGUGAAAGGGGGGAGUCGCAAGACCUCUCGCUAUUGGAGCGGCCGAUGUCAGAUUAGGUAGUUGGUGGGGUAAAGGACCUACCAAGCCUGUGAUCUGUAGCUGGUCUGAGAGGACGACCAGCCACACUGGGACGUGAGACACGGCCCA
RNAcentral lists this ribosomal RNA (303 nucleotides) under uncultured bacterium. RNAcentral describes it as "bacterial SSU rRNA". It matches the Rfam family "Bacterial small subunit ribosomal RNA", at positions 30 to 333 of the family's 1533-position model. The record is from RNAcentral.